RNAcentral lists this ribosomal RNA (572 nucleotides) under Chaetomium globosum. Its description in RNAcentral is "eukaryotic LSU rRNA". The stretch from base 245 to 398 matches the Rfam family "5.8S ribosomal RNA". The record is from RNAcentral. Lineage: Eukaryota; Fungi; Ascomycota; Sordariomycetes; Sordariales; Chaetomiaceae.
UCUUGGUCAUUUAGAGGAAGUAAAAGUCGUAACAAGGUCUCCGUUGGUGAACCAGCGGAGGGAUCAUUACAGAGUUGCAAAACUCCCUAAACCAUUGUGAACGUUACCUAUACCGUUGCUUCGGCGGGCGGCCCCGGGGUUUACCCCCCGGGCGCCCCUGGGCCCCACCGCGGGCGCCCGCCGGAGGUCACCAAACUCUUGAUAAUUUAUGGCCUCUCUGAGUCUUCUGUACUGAAUAAGUCAAAACUUUCAACAACGGAUCUCUUGGUUCUGGCAUCGAUGAAGAACGCAGCGAAAUGCGAUAAGUAAUGUGAAUUGCAGAAUUCAGUGAAUCAUCGAAUCUUUGAACGCACAUUGCGCCCGCCAGCAUUCUGGCGGGCAUGCCUGUUCGAGCGUCAUUUCAACCAUCAAGCCCCCGGGCUUGUGUUGGGGACCUGCGGCUGCCGCAGGCCCUGAAAAGCAGUGGCGGGCUCGCUGUCGCACCGAGCGUAGUAGCAUACAUCUCGCUCUGGUCGCGCCGCGGGUUCCGGCCGUUAAACCACCUUUUAACCCAAGGUUGACCUCGGAUCAGU